GCUCAGGUGGUUUAGUUGGUUAUAAUGUCCGCCUCACACGCGGAAGGUCGCGGGUUCGAACCCCGCCCCGAGUA
Transfer RNA from Ectocarpus siliculosus, 74 nucleotides. It matches the Rfam family "tRNA". Rfam says of the family: Transfer RNA (tRNA) molecules are approximately 80 nucleotides in length. Their secondary structure includes four short double-helical elements and three loops (D, anti-codon, and T loops). NCBI's taxonomy places the organism in Eukaryota, Phaeophyceae, Ectocarpales, Ectocarpaceae. The record is from Rfam.